RNAcentral lists this transfer RNA (54 nucleotides) under Selenops bursarius. Its description in RNAcentral is "tRNA-Asp". Lineage: Eukaryota; Metazoa; Arthropoda; Arachnida; Araneae; Selenopidae. The record is from RNAcentral.
AGUAAUGUAGUUAAGUUAAUAUUAAUUUGUCAAGUUAAAGAUGAUUUUAUACCU